RNAcentral lists this ribosomal RNA (135 nucleotides) under uncultured bacterium. RNAcentral describes it as "partial 16S ribosomal RNA". It matches the Rfam family "Bacterial small subunit ribosomal RNA", at positions 355 to 507 of the family's 1533-position model. The record is from RNAcentral.
UGGGGAAUCUUAGACAAUGGGGGAAACCUUGAUCUAGCCAUGCCGCGUGAUCGAUGAAGGCCUUAGGGUUGUAAAGAUCUUUCAGUUGGGAAGAUAAUGACUGUACCAACAGAAGAAACCCCGGCUAACUCCGUG